AUGGGGCAGGAAGAGGACGCCCUGACCGUGGCCUUCUCGUGGGAGCAGGAGCUGGGCAUGCCAGAGAGCCCGAGGAAGCCGCCGGUGAUCUUGUCGUGGGAGCUCGAGCCGGCCGUGAAGAAGCCGGUCUCGACGGUUGAAGGACGUGGUGGUGGCAUGCGGGAGGGCCAGAGGAAGGUGCCGGCGCUGGCGAGGCGGCUGUCCGUGCCGCCGCCCCCGGGCAGGCCGGCGGCGAGGGGCUACUCGAGGGCCGUCCGGCCUGAGGACGACCCGUUCCUGGCGGCGUACCUGGCCUGCACCAAGAGCGGCGGCGACGGCGACGGCAGGAAGAUGAAGACCGCACCAACAAGGGAGGCCAAGGGCCAGAGGCGGUGGAGCGGGCUCGGGCGUGGGCUCGGCGCGCUGUCGUGCAAGAGGUCCAACGGCGUGGUGGAGCAGAGCAUGGUGAGGAUGGCCAAGCUGCCCGGGCUGGAUCCCAGGGAUGCUUAA
This 489-nucleotide ribosomal RNA is filed under the name Triticum aestivum (bread wheat). RNAcentral's name for it is "partial small subunit ribosomal RNA". Lineage: Eukaryota; Viridiplantae; Streptophyta; Magnoliopsida; Poales; Poaceae. The record is from RNAcentral.